UGCCAGCCGCCGCGGUAAUACGGAGGGUACAAGCGUUGUUCGGAAUUAUUGGGCGUAAAGCGCGUGUAGGCGGUUCGUUAAGUCUGAUGUGAAAGGCCGGGGCUCAACCCCGGAAGUGCAUUGGAUACUGGCAGACUUGAGUACGGGAGAGGGAAGUGGAAUUCCUAGUGUAGGAGUGAAAUCCGUAGAUAUUCGGAGGAACACCAGUGGCGAAGGCGGCUUUCUGGACCGAUACUGACGCUGAGAAGCGAAAGCAUGGGGAGCAAACAGGAUUAGAUA
RNAcentral lists this ribosomal RNA (279 nucleotides) under uncultured bacterium. RNAcentral's name for it is "partial 16S ribosomal RNA". It matches the Rfam family "Bacterial small subunit ribosomal RNA", at positions 506 to 784 of the family's 1533-position model. The record is from RNAcentral.